GGGGAAUCUUGCGCAAUGGACGAAAGUCUGACGCAGCGACGCCGCGUGGGUGAUGAAGGCCUUCGGGUUGUAAAGCCCUGUGGGGAGAGAAGAAUAAAGCGUGGCUAAUAUCCACGCCGAUGACGGUAUCUCCUUAGCAAGCACCGGCUAACUCUGUGCCAGCAGCCGCGGUAAGACAGAGGGUGCAAACGUUGUUCGGAAUUACUGGGCGUAAAGCGUGUGUAGGCGGUUCUGUAAGUCGGAUGUGAAAGCCCCGGGCUCAACCCAGGAAGUGCAUUCGAUACUGCAGAGCUAGAGUAUCGGAGAGGUUGGUGGAAUUCUCGGUGUAGAGGUGAAAUUCGUAGAUAUCGAGAGGAACACCGGUGGCGAAGGCGGCCAACUGGACGAAUACUGACGCUGAGACACGAAAGCGUGGGGAGCAAAC
RNAcentral lists this ribosomal RNA (424 nucleotides) under uncultured bacterium. RNAcentral's name for it is "bacterial SSU rRNA". It matches the Rfam family "Bacterial small subunit ribosomal RNA", at positions 356 to 773 of the family's 1533-position model. The record is from RNAcentral.